GUGGGGCGGAGCCAUCCUGGAAGCGCGAAUCUGGUACCGGGACUUGGGGAGCGAGGGAUGCAACAUGGUGCAUCUGGGAGGCCUGCUAACUGGCUAACUUCUCCGGCGUUCCUCCCGGCCGAGGCGUGGGCACAGAAUAGCGCAGUUUGAAGACAUCAUUUUCCAGUUUUGGAGCCGACUAAUGAACUAGUUCUUAAGUGAAAGGCAUUUAACACGACUGUGCAUCUACAGGUACUAGGUUUCCAAGAUGCCUUUCCAGACUAAAACCCACACAUGUGAGCCGCUGGCCGGACAAACAUCUGGCACCUAACGUGGGGCUGAAAAACAGCAGAGGACAUUUGGAAGAAACACUGCUGGUUUGGAGCUCCAUAGAAGAAGAAAAUAAUUAAAGGAAAUUCAUACCAGAGAAGAACACCCCAGUGAUGGCUAUUCUUGGUCAUAAACUUCACUACAUAUGGAAAUACUAAAACCCAAUCCAUUGGGGUCCAAACCAAUGGAGGGAUCGUUCUUGAUUGGAUCAUUCAAGAUGGAAAGACCCACCUUAAAUCUGGAUCAUUUGACCUGGAUCAGAAGAUCCACUCUAAAUAUGGGCCACACCUUCUAGAGACAAUGUAUAUAAAAGAACAGAGAAAAAAGCCCUUGUUUUUGCCUGCUUCCCUUCACUCUGACUGACAAAUUCACCCAUUCUGCUGCUGAGGCAUUCCUUCACUGUUUUUUCCAACGGUUAAAAGUACCCUACAUGCUUUCAAAAAUCCCUAAGUACUGUAGAAUACAGUUUGGAAACAUGAUCUUCACCCCAGUGUUUCUAGACCUUGCUGUCUAUGAAGCUCUCAAAUCCCACCUGAUAGUGUCUACUCAACAAUGAAGAGCUUCAUCAUCAUCGUCAUUGUUGUUCCACCUCCAAGGCUAGAAUUUUCUUCUUCCACCAUUGAAGGUCUCAAAUACCUGCUCGACACCCUCCUCUUAUGACAUAAAGCCUUCACUGUUACUAGAAGCUGCAGCUCCUCUCCUCUGGAUCUUUAUGACCACACCAGGAAGCAUUGUGAUCUGCAGUCACUGCCAACCUGCAGGAUAACACAGCUUGUUCCUCUGGGAACUGCCCUGCAGUGUCUGCAUACAGCCACCCUCGACCUGUCUGCCUGGUCUUUGCAACCUCUAGUGGCUGUUGUUCCACAAUGUGUUGUGAAGAGACCUGAAUGGUUUGCACCAAAACACAAACACAAACCAUUGGGAGAGUGAUUGGUGAAGUGAUGGACAUUUACUCGGGCAAAGGCAUGCAUGUAAAAUAGUCCCUAUCUGGAUGGACCUACGCCUGUGGCAGGAAGUUCACUGGUCAAUUACCUGCUGACUGAAGUGGCCUAUUUUCUUCUGACCCCCUGCUUCUCUCUUCCCCUCUCCGCCCUGAAAGCUGUUUGGGCAUAGGGAGGUCUUGACCUGAGGAAACCAUCUUGGGUAACCAAGGCAAGGAAAGGGAAUAUGCAACACCUAGGAGAUUUCAGCAAACAGUAGAAUCAUGCCAACGUAAUCUGUGUUAAAAUGCUUGGAAUGUGGGAGCCGCCGGUGAUGUCUGUUGUCUGUGUGUCUCCAGUAAUCCUUUCUUUUUUAAGUGCAGCAAAGCCAAGCCUGGAAACCAGGCCAAGCGCCUGCCACUUACCUUAAAUUUAUCAGCCACUUUGAGAUUAAAACCCCUGAAAGCUGCUGCACAGUGAAAGCAAGGCCUCCUUCACAUUAAAGGCAAAUCGCAACUCUG
Molecule: long non-coding RNA, 1750 nt
Filed under: Mus musculus (house mouse)
Lineage: Eukaryota; Metazoa; Chordata; Mammalia; Rodentia; Muridae
Description: RIKEN cDNA 2810429I04 gene
Source: RNAcentral